Molecule: ribosomal RNA, 342 nt
Filed under: uncultured bacterium
Lineage: Bacteria
Description: bacterial SSU rRNA
Rfam family: Bacterial small subunit ribosomal RNA
Source: RNAcentral
UCAGGCCUAACACAUGCAAGUCGAACGGUAACGCGGGGCAACCUGGCGACGAGUGGCGAACGGGUGAGUAAUGUAUCGGAACGUGCCCAGUAGUGGGGGAUAGCCCGGCGAAAGCCGGAUUAAUACCGCAUGAGACCUAAGGGUGAAAGCGGGGGAUCGUAAGACCUCGCGCUAUUGGAGCGGCCGAUAUCAGAUUAGGUAGUUGGUGGGGUAAAGGCCUACCAAGCCGACGAUCUGUAGCUGGUCUGAGAGGACGACCAGCCACACUGGGACUGAGACACGGCCCAGACUCCUACGGGAGGCAGCAGUGGGGAAUUUUGGACAAUGGGCGCAAGCCUGAUC